CCUCUCGUGGCGUAGGGGUAACGCGCCCCAACUAGAGAUCGGGGAGUCGUGAGUUCGAUUCUCACUGAGAAGA
Molecule: transfer RNA, 73 nt
Filed under: Aedes aegypti (yellow fever mosquito)
Lineage: Eukaryota; Metazoa; Arthropoda; Insecta; Diptera; Culicidae
Rfam family: tRNA
About the family: Transfer RNA (tRNA) molecules are approximately 80 nucleotides in length. Their secondary structure includes four short double-helical elements and three loops (D, anti-codon, and T loops).
Source: Rfam by way of RNAcentral